AACCGACUUACGUUGAAAAGUGAGCGGAUGAACUGAGGGUAGCGGAGAAAUUCCAAUCGAACCUGGAGAUAGCUGGUUCUCUCCGAAAUAGCUUUAGGGCUAGCCUCAAGUGAUGAUUAUUGGAGGUAGAGCACUGUUUGGACGAGGGGCCCCUCUCGGGUUACCGAAUUCAGACAAACUCCGAAUGCCAAUUAAUUUAACUUGGGAGUCAGAACAUGGGUGAUAAGGUCCGUGUUCGAAAGGGAAACAGCCCAGACCACCAGCUAAGGUCCCAAAAUAUAUGUUAAGUGGAAAAGGAUGUGGCGUUGCCCAGACAACUAGGAUGUUGGCUUAGAAGCAGCCAUCAUUUAAAGAGUGCGUAAUAGCUCACUAGUCGAGUGACACUGCGCCGAAAAUGUACCGGGGCUAAACAUAUUACCGAAGCUGUGGAUUGUCCUUUGGACAAUGGUAGGAGAGCGUUCUAAGGGCGUUGAAGCAUGAUCGUAAGGACAUGUGGAGCGCUUAGAAGUGAGAAUGCCGGUGUGAGUAGCGAAAGACGGGUGAGAAUCCCGUCCACCGAUUGACUAAGGUUUCCAGAGGAAGGCUCGUCCGCUCUGGGUUAGUCGGGUCCUAAGCUGAGGCCGACAGGCGUAGGCGAUGGAUAACAGGUUGAUAUUCCUGUACCACCUAUA
RNAcentral lists this ribosomal RNA (671 nucleotides) under Staphylococcus aureus. RNAcentral describes it as "partial 23S ribosomal RNA". It matches the Rfam family "Bacterial large subunit ribosomal RNA", at positions 777 to 1452 of the family's 2925-position model. Lineage: Bacteria; Bacillati; Bacillota; Bacilli; Caryophanales; Staphylococcaceae. The record is from RNAcentral.